RNAcentral lists this ribosomal RNA (520 nucleotides) under uncultured Glomus. RNAcentral describes it as "SSU rRNA". It matches the Rfam family "Eukaryotic small subunit ribosomal RNA", at positions 569 to 1089 of the family's 1831-position model. The record is from RNAcentral. Lineage: Eukaryota; Fungi; Glomeromycota; Glomeromycetes; Glomerales; Glomeraceae.
AGCAGCCGCGGUAAUUCCAGCUCCAAUAGCGUAUAUUAAAGUUGUUGCAGUUAAAAAGCUCGUAGUUGAAUUUCGGGAUCAAUGCGUCGGUCGUGCUUUCGGGUACGUACUGGUGUCAUUGGUUUCUCCUUUCUGACGAGCCGUGAUGUCAUUAAUUUGGUGUUACGGGUAGUUAGGACUGUUACUUUAGAAAAAAUUAGAGUGUUUAAAGCAGGCAUUCGCUUGAAUACAUUAGCAUGGAAUAAUGAAAUAGGACGUUUGACCCUAUUUUGUUGGUUUCUAGGAUCAACGUAAUGAUUAAUAGGGAUAGUUGGGGGCAUUAGUAUUCAAUUGUCAGAGGUGAAAUUCUUGGAUUUAUUGAAGACUAACUACUGCGAAAGCAUUUGCCAAGGAUGUUUUCAUUAAUCAAGAACGAAAGUUAGGGGAUCGAAGACGAUCAGAUACCGUCGUAGUCUUAACCAUAAACUAUGCCGACUAGGGAUCGGAUGAUGUUAAUUUUUAAUGACUCAUUCGGCGCCUU